AUUGAACGCUGGCGGCAUGCCUUACACAUGCAAGUCGAACGGCAGCGCGGGGGCAACCUGGCGGCGAGUGGCGAACGGGUGAGUAACAUAUCGGAACAUACCCUAGAGUGGGGGAUAACGUAGCGAAAGUUACGCUAAUACCGCAUACGCACUAAGGUGGAAAGUGGGGGAUUCGCAAGAACCUCAUGCUCAUGGAGUGGCCGAUAUCUGAUUAGCUAGUUGGUGAGGUAAAGGCUCACCAAGGCGACGAUCAGUAGCUGGUCUGAGAGGACGACCAGCCACACUGGAACUGAGACACGGUCCAGACUCCUACGGGAGGCAGCAGUGGGGAAUUUUGGACAAAUGGGCGAAAGCCUGAUCCAGCAAUGCCGCGUGAGUGAAGAAGGCC
This 388-nucleotide ribosomal RNA is filed under the name uncultured bacterium. RNAcentral describes it as "bacterial SSU rRNA". It matches the Rfam family "Bacterial small subunit ribosomal RNA", at positions 30 to 416 of the family's 1533-position model. The record is from RNAcentral.